Molecule: long non-coding RNA, 1150 nt
Organism: Hypanus sabinus (Atlantic stingray)
Lineage: Eukaryota; Metazoa; Chordata; Chondrichthyes; Myliobatiformes; Dasyatidae
Exons: 4
Source: RefSeq, a predicted model, not a curated record
AUUGCUAUAUUUCUGCACUAUUCUUGGUUGGUGCGACUGUAAGGAAACCCGAUUUCCCUCGGGAUCAAUAAAGUACGCCUGUCUGUCUGUCACUUGCGUUUAGAAACAAGGCCUGGACCUGGUAUUGGAGGAACUCUGGAGCGUUUGUGGAUGUGGCUCGAGCGUCAAGACCCUGGACGUAGGGCUGUUGCCCUGAAAGGAUGACCAUCUCUUUGCCUGCACAGUCAGAGCCUGACCCACUGAGCUGGAAUCCAGAUUCCAGCGUCUCUGCAGCUGGGAUCGUGCUGUUCUCUUUGCCGGUGUGAGUAGCCUUUGAAUGCCACAGGAGAGAUUAUGCUCAAUAACCCUCCUUGUACUUUCUAUCACUCUCUCCCUCGUGCUCAGCCAGCUUCCCAGUGAGAUUAUCUUUUGCGGCUCGACCGCUCUCUGUUAAAGUGUGUUGCACAUUUCAUCGCUCCCUGGUCUGGAGCUUUCAAAGCUUUAAGAUUGGACUUAUCAGCCACCAACAGCAGCGCAGGAGUCCCUCUAACUCACGUCUGCGGUUGCACACCCUUAACUCACUAACCAUCUGCAAGAGGGAGGAACUGUUUUAAAACAAAAACAGUAAACAAGCAGCCAGCAACAGGAAGCUUCCUCCGCUGAUGAUCCCCAGUAACAGCUCAACGUGCCAGAGAUCACAUUCAAUUCAAGGACGACAUGCGUUAAAAGUAUGCUCUGGAGUCAAGGAUUGAAGAAAUAAAGUCAAUUCAAUUCAGACGCAGGAGCAGGGCCAACUUGCAUCCACCGUUCCCCAUCUGGCUCCCCUUAAAGAUGGGUUUCAAAGGGGUUUGCAGAACUACAGCCGGAGCAGCUGUUUGAACUCUGCCAUGGAGGGCGGCUGCACAUGGAGCGAGUGACCCCGCCCUGUAAAAACCCAGAACGACAGAAAAGCCGACAGAAGCUGCAGAGACCUGGUCCCUGGGAGAGGAAAGAUCGGCCCGGGACAGGGGACUCUGGCAACUGCCCCAGCUGGGAAGGACCUCAGAUCCAGUCCAGAGCUCCAGGAUACCCCCAACACACACACCAGGACACUGAGCAGCCUCACCUCCAUCUCUGCAGCACGCAGCUGCCCAAAGAACACCUUUCGCAUGAACUUGCCGACCAGGAAGAC